Long non-coding RNA from Xyrauchen texanus (razorback sucker), 719 nucleotides. RefSeq lists it as uncharacterized. The record is from RefSeq and is a predicted model, not a curated record. NCBI's taxonomy places the organism in Eukaryota, Metazoa, Chordata, Actinopteri, Cypriniformes, Catostomidae. The transcript has 3 exons.
ACAGACGCCUCACAGCAGGAGACUGUGGACAGUGUAGACACUGUGGAGAGUGUCGAUACUGGGGAUCAGCCCUUGCCCUCCUCCACUUCUGACGCUGGGACACAGUGUUCUUUGAAGCCCCCCCGAUGGUCUCACGCUGUGCAGGUUUACCUGAAGCCCAAGAUGGUCAGCGUGGGCACACAGACAUCAUUCGGCACACAAACCUCCACUCCCCUUGCUAGUCCUGAACAGACAGAUGAAGAUGAUGAUAAUGCCUCUGUCAUCAGUGACUUAUCGUGGGUGCCCGAAGAGCCGAUGCAUGAGGAAGACUUGUUUGAUGAGGAGCCACCAUACACGUGUGACCCCCAUCACAAUGGCAUUGACAAAUUCAUUGUUUGCUAAGAGGAGCUGAUGGGCCUUUUUGUCAUCUGUCCGGCCUGUUGUGAGAGGUCAGAUAGUAGCAUCGUGCAGCAGGAAGGAACUUUUCUUAAGAUCAAGCAGGUACGGUUUUGUUUACGCAGCAGGCCAUCUGAUUAGAAAAUCAGAAUAUCUAAUUACAAUCUGAUAGCUCUGACUGUCUUGCCAGUUAAUUUAAUUUACAAUGUAUGUACCAGGCUGGCUUUAGUCUAUUGGUUUGUGAUGGCAUCAUAUUUGAGUGUUAUACUGUAUUGGUCAUGUGUGUUUCAUUGAAAACAUGAAACCUUUGACCAGUAAUGUACAGUACCUAAUCUAUAUUGAAU